AUUGAACGCUAGCGGGAUGCUUUACACAUGCAAGUCGAACGGCAGCGCGGACUUCGGUCUGGCGGCGAGUGGCGAACGGGUGAGUAAUGUAUCGGAACGUGCCCAGUAGCGGGGGAUAACUACGCGAAAGCGUAGCUAAUACCGCAUACGCCCUACGGGGGAAAGCAGGGGAUCGUAAGACCUUGCACUAUUGGAGCGGCCGAUAUCGGAUUAGCUAGUUGGUGAGGUAACGGCUCACCAAGGCGACGAUCCGUAGCUGGUUUGAGGGGACGACCAGCCACCCUGGGACUGAGACACGGCCCAGACUCCUACGGGAGGCAGCAGUGGGGAAUUUUGGACAAUGGGGGCAACCCUGAUCCAGCCAUCCCGCGUGUGCGAUGAAGGCCUUCGGGUUGUAAAGCACUUUUGGCAGGAAAGAAACGUCGCGGGCUAAUACCCCGUGGAACUGACGGUACCUGCAGAAUAAGCACCGGCUAACUACGU
Molecule: ribosomal RNA, 483 nt
Filed under: uncultured bacterium
Lineage: Bacteria
Description: partial 16S ribosomal RNA
Rfam family: Bacterial small subunit ribosomal RNA
Source: RNAcentral